AGAGCGAACGCUGGCGGCAGGCCUAAUACAUGCAAGUCGAACGGAUCCUUCGGGAUUAGUGGCGGACGGGUGAGUAACACGUGGGAACGUGCCCUUUGGUUCGGAACAACUCAGGGAAACUUGAGCUAAUACCGGAUGUGCCCUUCGGGGGAAAGAUUUAUCGCCAUUGGAGCGGCCCGCGUCUGAUUAGCUAGUUGGUGAGGUAAAGGCUCACCAAGGCUACGAUCAGUAGCUGGUCUGAGAGGAUGAUCAGCCACACUGGGACUGAGACACGGCCCAGACUCCUACGGGAGGCAGCAGUAGGGAAUCUUGCGCAAUGGGCGAAAGCCUGACGCAGCCAUGCCGCGUGAAUGAUGAAGGUCUUAGGAUUGUAAAAUUCUUUCAGCGGGGACGAUAAUGACGGUACCCGCAGAAGAAGCCCCGGCUAACUUCGUGCCAGCAGCCGC
RNAcentral lists this ribosomal RNA (446 nucleotides) under uncultured bacterium. RNAcentral describes it as "SSU rRNA". It matches the Rfam family "Bacterial small subunit ribosomal RNA", at positions 26 to 518 of the family's 1533-position model. The record is from RNAcentral.